UACGGAGGAUCCAAGCGUUAUCCGGAUUUAUUGGGUUUAAAGGGUGCGUAGGCGGCUUAUUAAGUCAGGGGUGAAAGACGGUGGCUCAACCAUCGCAGUGCCCUUGAUACUGAUGAGCUUGAAUACACUAGAGGUAGGCGGAAUGUGACAAGUAGCGGUGAAAUGCAUAGAUAUGUCACAGAACACCGAUUGCGAAGGCAGCUUACUAUGGUGUGAUUGACGCUGAGGCACGAAAGCGUGGGGAU
This 245-nucleotide ribosomal RNA is filed under the name uncultured Pedobacter sp. RNAcentral's name for it is "partial 16S ribosomal RNA". It matches the Rfam family "Bacterial small subunit ribosomal RNA", at positions 524 to 768 of the family's 1533-position model. Lineage: Bacteria; Pseudomonadati; Bacteroidota; Sphingobacteriia; Sphingobacteriales; Sphingobacteriaceae. The record is from RNAcentral.